Columba livia (rock pigeon) is the source of this 506-nucleotide long non-coding RNA. RefSeq lists it as uncharacterized. NCBI's taxonomy places the organism in Eukaryota, Metazoa, Chordata, Aves, Columbiformes, Columbidae. The record is from RefSeq and is a predicted model, not a curated record. The transcript has 4 exons.
AGAAAACCCUUUGGCCUUGGGGUCCAUUUUCUCUCAGAGAGAUUGCUAGCUACCCCUUCAGAGGAUUUGCUUUUGGAGUCUCUCUGGGGGAGCCUCUUCGGUGACUUCUUGCUGUGUUUUAAGAGACCUUCUGUAUCAAAAUGGAGAAACUGAGGCACCGAACAGUGUCAGAUCCUGUCUGUGACUAUGCUGAAGGGACUGAGCUGGACUGCCUCAAGGAUCUGACAGGAGGAAUUGAGUAUGCUGCCAAGAUAUUAAAUGAAAUUCCCCAGAAAGACAUUCAGUGCACUAAAAGAGCCUCAAAGGCAGAAAAGGAAGGAAAUGGGCAAGCUUCUCCCUGCAAGUCCGGAGGUGACACCCUGUUCCCAUUGAAAUCACGAGCAAAAUUCUUGCUGACUUCAGAGAACCCAGGAAAUCGCUGCAGAAACCUUAAGAAAACUAUACCGGAAAAUAUUUACCAUUGUCAUUAGACCCUUGGGAACUUUUCCAGACUGCUUUGCUCUUAC